This 74-nucleotide transfer RNA is filed under the name Planctomycetaceae bacterium. RNAcentral describes it as "tRNA-Met". It matches the Rfam family "tRNA". Rfam says of the family: Transfer RNA (tRNA) molecules are approximately 80 nucleotides in length. Lineage: Bacteria; Pseudomonadati; Planctomycetota; Planctomycetia; Planctomycetales; Planctomycetaceae. The record is from RNAcentral.
CGCGGGGUAGAGCAGUCCGGUAGCUCGUGAGGCUCAUAACCUCAAGGUCGCAGGUUCGAAUCCUGCCCCCGCAA